This is a non-coding RNA of Peromyscus maniculatus bairdii (prairie deer mouse), 489 nucleotides long. The record is from RefSeq and is a predicted model, not a curated record. NCBI's taxonomy places the organism in Eukaryota, Metazoa, Chordata, Mammalia, Rodentia, Cricetidae.
UCUAUCCUGGCUAGAAGCUGGGAAAUGGGAUUUGGACAGAGAUAGAUGAGUUUGACUAUAUCCUCUGGCUAAGAAAGUGGAGAAAGUUCUUACUGGUGCCUGGCUCCUCUUCCUCCCUCCGAAUGAUCCUGAACCACCUCUGUUCAUUUUGAGGGGACUCUCAGGGGCCCUGCAGGAUGCGUCUUCCCUCUGGAACACAACUCCACACAGCUAUGGAGACCAGGCAGCACAGCAGUUGGCCGGUCAACCCUGACUCCUUUUCCAUAAGAGCCUUGGGCUGCAUCUUCAUCUCCUGGAUACAUCUGCCUUGUAAACAGCCAGUCUGCCAUGAAAGAGUUCCCCCACUGAAAGCAAUUUUGUUAUUGGGGUGGGGGGUCCACCCCCUUCCUCCCCCAACUCCCUGACAUGAGUCCGUGUCAUUAACCACUCACUUCAGCAGUUUUAUUAUGGAAAUGACAUAUUGAAAUACAAAUUGGGACAUGUACAGUA